Molecule: non-coding RNA, 26 nt
Filed under: Drosophila melanogaster (fruit fly)
Lineage: Eukaryota; Metazoa; Arthropoda; Insecta; Diptera; Drosophilidae
Source: RNAcentral
UAACAUAGAAUUGUUGCGGUCACUCC